RNA transcript from Physeter macrocephalus (sperm whale), 2177 nucleotides. It is a transcript of the gene named transmembrane protein 178A, with no coding region annotated. The record is from RefSeq and is a predicted model, not a curated record. The transcript has 7 exons. NCBI's taxonomy places the organism in Eukaryota, Metazoa, Chordata, Mammalia, Artiodactyla, Physeteridae.
GAAGGGAGGGAGGGGAGGGGAGGGGAGGGAGGGAAAGAAAGAAAGAAAGAAAGAGGGAGAGUAAGGGAGAGAGGAAGGGAGGAAGGAAGAAAAAAGUCAUGCUAACCAGAUCUCUUUUACAAAAGAAAAGUCAUUACUUGGAAAAUUAAAAGAAACUGGUAUGCGGAUGCUAAGAGGCUAAAGGUUGAGGGGCUGUCGAUGGACGCUGCCCAGUGAAAUGACUAUCGCCGGGCCUGGUGGGCAGCAGUUGCCAACCCACCGCGGACAAUCCCAGGUCCGUGGAGUGCAUGCAGGUUUGACAUAAGCCAAACCCCUGCUGUCCGGCUCGUCGCACUGACCCUGCCAAUGCAACAAACGCGCAGACCCUCUCCGCGCGGUGAGGAGCGGAGUUGCCGCCGCCGUUCAGCGCUUCCCAGGAAAUGCGCGUCCGGGGGAGGCUCAGUUCUCUUCCAGAGGUUUGAUAUCCUGUCUUAGCUGGGGCUGGGCAGGUUCAUGGUGUGAUCCAAAGCUGAGCGUCACCUACACAGAGUGCUAGUUUAUAGCAAGAACUGACUCCGGGGUACUCUCCAGUUCCAUGCCUAUGAUGUAGUCAUCAGAGUUGCAAAGAAUUUCUUCAUAAGGUUCUAAAAUUGGAUUACGGUGAUGGUUGCACAACUCCAAAUAUACUAAAACCAUUGAACUUUCAACAGGCGACUUAUGGAACAAGAGGAUUCAUCUGACUUAACUGGCGAUGGCUCCCUUCCCCAUUUAUUAUGCCAUUCCUAAAGCUUCCCUCCUACCGGGCUCAGUGAGAGCUAUGGAGGAGACACCCACCUCAGAGGAGCUCUGUGAAAAAAUUACUGAGACACUAAGAUGCUGUGAAUUGGGAAAGAUUGGGAACCUCAAGAUUAGAGCUAUACAAACUGUCUCAAAGGGCAAAGGUGGAUUUUAAUGGCUUAAGCUCAAUGGUAAUUUUUUGUUGUUUUUCUUUUUUGCGGUACGCGGGCCUCUCACUGUUGUGGCCCCUCCCGUUGCGGAGCACAGGCUCCGGACGCGCAGGCUCAGCGCCCAUGGCUCACGGACCCAGCCGCUCCGCGGCAUGUGGGAUCUUCCCGGACCGGGGCACGAACACGUGUCCCCUGCAUCGGCAGGCGGAUUCUCAACCACUGAGCCACCAAGGAAGCCCUCCGCAGUCAUUGGAACCUCAAUCAUGAAUUUGGCUUACAUGUCCAGUGCCAUUGCUGGGUCUCCUUUCUAUUAUUGGUAAAGAAGCUCAUGAGAUUCUGCAUAACCUUUGGACGGCAUCCUCCUGUGGACACUUCCUCUCCUGCAAUAAUUUUGUUAUUAUCAAGAUUCUGUUCAGAACUUCAGACUUAGGUAAUAAGAGAGUACCACCUGAGGGGGGCAAUCUCCCACCUAGAACAAUAAGAUCAUGGAAUUGCAGGGAACCCUUGGUAAUCAUUUAGUUUAAUUUCUCAAGCGAAGCAGACAUCCUUUCUGUACCACUUCUGACAGAUACUAGUAGCUAAUGUUUAUUGAGCAUAGACCAGUUACUGUCUUAAAGAACAUUGAUACAGAUGAACCCAUUGAAUCCUUUGUAACCUUAUGGGUACAGUUACCAUCAUGCAUCUUUCAUAGAUGGAGAAAUAGUGCAAUGCCUGUCUAAGUCAUACAAGUAAUAAGGGGCACAGUCAAGAUUUGAACCCAUUGUCAGGCCAUUGUCAGAAGCAGAGCUUUUAGCAACCGUGCUAUGCUAUGCUACCUUUGUAGUUAGCCAACAUUUAUGUGGAGACUUCCAGGAGUAGGAAUUCACUCCACUGUGAACUGGAUACUAGCCAUUUUUCCUAGUUCCAGCCUGUAAAACUAUACAGAAUAGCCUGCUCCAACUUCCAUAGACAGUCAUUCAAAUAUUUUCAAAGACUAAGAGUAAUUUUUUUCUGUUCAUAAAAAUAACAUAUGCUCAUUGUAGAAAACUUGGAAAAGUUCAGAAGAGUAUAAAGAAAAUAAGAAUCCUUGAUAACCAAGGAGAAAAUAAAUGUUAACUGCCAAGAAUCCAUUAGCGUUUUGUUGUUGUUUUUCAUAUCUGUAUUUCAUUAAGGACCCAUGUAAAACCUGUGUCCAGCCAAGACGCCUAGUUCUCUGUCACAUGACCUUCCAUCAAGCCAGAUUUUUUUCCUUUAUAUAAAAUCCUAAAUGUA